GGGCGGUGGCGGGGGUGAUGCAGCGGCCGCUGAGGGUGGCGCAGGGGCCCCGGCCAGCCCGGGGCUGCAGCAGUGCGGACAGCUCCAGAAGCUCAUCGGCAUCUCCAUUGGCAGCCUGCGCGGGCUGGGCACCAAGUGCGCUGUGUCCAACGACCUCACCGAGCAGGAGAUACGGACCCUGGAGCAUUGUCCCAAUUCCUUCUUCUAAUGAAGAAAUACGCUUAGUUGAUGAUGCGUUUGGAAAAAUUUGUCACAUGGUCAGUGAUGGCUCUUGGGUGGUUCAUGUUCAGGCAGCAAAACUGUUGGGCUCUAUGGAGCAAGUCAGUUCUCAUUUCUUGGAGCAGACCCUUGACAAGAAGCUGAUGUCAGAUCUGAGGAGGAAACGUACUGCACAUGAGCGUGCCAAGGAACUUUACAGUUCAGGGGAGUUUUCCAGUGGCAGAAAGUGGGAAGAUGAUGCUCCCAAGGAAGAAGUAGAUACCGGGGCUGUGAACUUGAUUGAGUCAGGAGCUUGUGGAGCUUUUGUUCAUGGGUUGGAAGAUGAGAUGUAUGAGGUUCGUAUUGCUGCUGUGGAGGCCCUCUGCAUGUUGGCCCAGUCUUCACCCUCUUUUGCUGAGAAGUGCCUUGAUUUCCUAGUUGACAUGUUCAACGAUGAAAUUGAGGAAGUACGUCUGCAGUCCAUACAUACCAUGAGAAAAAUCUCUAACAACAUCACCCUCCGAGAAGAUCAGCUUGACACUGUCCUGGCUGUGCUAGAGGAUUCAGCCAGAGAUAUUCGAGAGGCUCUUCAUGAACUCUUAUGCUGUACUAAUGUUUCAACCAAAGAAGGGAUUCAUCUUGCAUUGGUGGAGCUGCUGAAAAAUUUAACCAAGUACCCUACUGAUAGGGACUCCAUAUGGAAGUGCUUGAAGUUUCUGGGAAGUCGGCAUCCAACCCUGGUGCUUCCCUUGGUGCCAGAGCUUCUGAGCACCCACCCAUUUUUUGACACAGCUGAACCAGACAUGGAUGAUCCAGCUUAUAUUGCAGUUUUGGUACUUAUUUUCAAUGCUGCUAAAACCUGUCCAACAAUGCGAGCAUUGUUCUCAGAUCACACCGUCAGGCACUAUGCCUACCUCCGAGACAGUCUUUCUCAUCUUGUUCCUGCCUUGAGGUUACCAGGUAGAAAACUGGUGUCAUCAGCUGUUUCUCCCAGCAUCAUACCUCAAGAGGAUCCUUCGCAGCAGUUCCUGCAGCAGAGCCUUGAAAGAGUGUAUAGUCUUCAGCACUUGGACCCUCAGGGAGCCCAGGAGCUGCUGGAAUUCACCAUCAGGCCUUGCAGGAAAAGUCGUGGAAUGUAGCUGCCCCUUCGUAUUUGAAGCAGAGUGAUUUGGCCUCAGCAGCAGCAAAACAGACUUUACCCCUUAU
This 1404-nucleotide long non-coding RNA is filed under the name Homo sapiens (human). RNAcentral's name for it is "novel transcript". Lineage: Eukaryota; Metazoa; Chordata; Mammalia; Primates; Hominidae. The record is from RNAcentral.